GACGAACGCUGGCGGCGUGCUUAACACAUGCAAGUCGAACGAAGAGCGAUGGAAGCUUGCUUCUAUCAAUCUUAGUGGCGAACGGGUGAGUAACGCGUAAUCAACCUGCCCUUCAGAGGGGGACAACAGUUGGAAACGACUGCUAAUACCGCAUACGAUCUAAUCUCGGCAUCGAGGAUAGAUGAAAGGUGGCCUCUACAUGUAAGCUAUCACUGAAGGAGGGGAUUGCGUCUGAUUAGCUAGUUGGAGGGGUAACGGCCCAACAAGGCGAUGAUCAGUAGCCGGUCUGAGAGGAUGAACGGCCACAUUGGGACUGAGACACGGCCCAGACUCCUACGGGAGGCAGCAGUGGGGAAUCUUCCGCAAUGGACGAAAGUCUGACGGAGCAACGCCGCGGGAGUGAUGACGGCCUUCGGGUUGUAAAGCUCUGUUAAUCGGGACGAAAGGCCUUCUUGCGAACAGUUAGAAGGAUUGACGGUACCGGAAUAGAAAGCCACGGCUAACUACGUG
This 510-nucleotide ribosomal RNA is filed under the name uncultured bacterium. RNAcentral describes it as "partial 16S ribosomal RNA". It matches the Rfam family "Bacterial small subunit ribosomal RNA", at positions 28 to 507 of the family's 1533-position model. The record is from RNAcentral.